UUUCUGAGAUUAGCAAACAACUCUCCUCUCCUCCCUCCUAAACCACCCCCUUCCCGCUCACCCCCACCUCCCCAUGCUAAGCUGUGGAGAAGGAGGAAGUGUCGAGUGGGCAUCCAAAGUCAACAGGGCGCAGUAAGAAGCAUUUAUACUGAGUGACCUGGGAUACAUAGACACUCUUAUGGGCCCUUGACAUCUUGUGCUCCAUUUCUCCAAAUGCCAGCAGGAGUCUCAAGGAGAGAAACACGCAACCUCAUGAAACUCUAUGCAGGAAAAUACCCAACCAGAAAACAAGGUUAUUGUCAGGUCCAGAGGAAACCCCACUUCCCCUAAUUCCAAAAGGCAGUACCCAGAAAUGACCGUCUUGACUCAGCUCUGCUGAAGUAUAGGAUUACUGAAGGACACUGCCAGCGUUCCUUAGGAACCCAAGAAAGAGUUUCUGUCUACCAGGAAGAGGGCCAGAAACGGAUCUCCUGCA
RNAcentral lists this long non-coding RNA (475 nucleotides) under Mus pahari (shrew mouse). Its description in RNAcentral is "lncRNA (MGP_PahariEiJ_G0003640.1)". The record is from RNAcentral. Lineage: Eukaryota; Metazoa; Chordata; Mammalia; Rodentia; Muridae.